This 434-nucleotide ribosomal RNA is filed under the name uncultured soil bacterium. RNAcentral describes it as "bacterial SSU rRNA". It matches the Rfam family "Bacterial small subunit ribosomal RNA", at positions 26 to 455 of the family's 1533-position model. The record is from RNAcentral.
AGGACGAACGCUGGCGGCGUGCUUAACACAUGCAAGUCGAGCGGUAAGGCCUUUCGGGGUACACGAGCGGCGAACGGGUGAGUAACACGUGGGUGAUCUGCCCUGCACUCUGGGAUAAGCCUGGGAAACUGGGUCUAAUACCGGAUAUGACCUGCUCUCGCAUGGGGGUGGGUGGAAAGAUUUAUCGGUGCAGGAUGGGCCCGCGGCCCAUCAGCUUGUUGGUGGGUAAUGGCCUACCAAGGCGACGACGGGUAGCCGACCUGAGGAGGGUGACCGGCCACACGUGGGACUGAGACACGGCCCAGACUCCGACGGGAGCAGCGAGUGGGAAUAGUUGACACGAAGUGGGACGAAAGCCUAGAUGCAGCGACGCCGCGUGAGGAGUGAAGGUCCGUUCGGUUAGUAAACCUCUUACAGUCGAGGACGAAGCGACG